This 449-nucleotide ribosomal RNA is filed under the name uncultured bacterium. RNAcentral describes it as "bacterial SSU rRNA". It matches the Rfam family "Bacterial small subunit ribosomal RNA", at positions 328 to 793 of the family's 1533-position model. The record is from RNAcentral.
CGCUAUCACUCCUACGGGAGGCAGCAGUGGGGAAUCUUAGACAAUGGGCGCAAGCCUGAUCUAGCCAUGCCGCGUGAGUGAUGAAGGCCUUAGGGUCGUAAAGCUCUUUCGCCAGGGAUGAUAAUGACAGUACCUGGUAAAGAAACCCCGGCUAACUCCGUGCCAGCAGCCGCGGUAAUACGGAGGGGUUAGCGUUGUUCGGAAUUACUGGGCGUAAAGCGCGCGUAGGCGGAUUAGUCAGUUAGAGGUGAAAUCCCAGGGCUCAACCCUGGAACUGCCUUUAAUACUGCUAGUCUUGAGUUCGAGAGAGGUGAGUGGAAUUCCGAGUGUAGAGGUGAAAAUUCGUAGAUAUUCGGAGGAACACCAGUGGCGAAGGCGGCUCACUGGCUCGAUACUGACGCUGAGGUGCGAAAGUGUGGGGAGCAAACAGGAUUAGAUACCCCUGGUAG